UCCUACGGGAGGCAGCAGUGGGGAAUUUUCCGCAAUGGGCGAAAGCCUGACGGAGCAACGCCGCGUGAGGGAUGAAGGCCUCUGGGCUGUAAACCUCUUUUAUCAAGGAAGAAGAUCUGACGGUACUUGAUGAAUAAGCCACGGCUAAUUCCGUGCCAGCAGCCGCGGUAAUACGGGAGUGGCAAGCGUUAUCCGGAAUUAUUGGGCGUAAAGCGUCCGCAGGCGGUCUGUCAAGUCUGCUGUUAAAGCGUGGAGCUUAACUCCAUUUCGGCAGUGGAAACUGACAGACUAGAGUGUGGUAGGGGCAGAGGGAAUUCCCGGUGUAGCGGUGAAAUGCGUAGAUAUCGGGAAGAACACCAGUGGCGAAGGCGCUCUGCUGGGCCAUAACUGACGCUCAUGGACGAAAGCCAGGGGAGCGAAAGGGAUUAGAUACCCCUGUAGUCCUGGCCAUAAACGAUGAACACUAGGUGUCGGGGGAAUCGACCCCCUCGGUGUCGUAGCCAACGCGUUAAGUGUUCCGCCUGGGGAGUACGCGCGCAAGUGUGAAACUCAAAGGAAUUGACGGA
Molecule: ribosomal RNA, 566 nt
Filed under: uncultured bacterium
Lineage: Bacteria
Description: bacterial SSU rRNA
Rfam family: Bacterial small subunit ribosomal RNA
Source: RNAcentral